UAGGGAAUCUUCCGCAAUGGGCGAAAGCCUGACGGAGCAACGCCGCGUGAGUGAAGAAGGAUUUCGGUUCGUAAAGCUCUGUUGUUAGGGAAGAAUGAUUGUGUAGUAACUAUACACAGUAGAGACGGUACCUAACCAGAAAGCCACGGCUAACUACGUGCCAGCAGCCGCGGUAAUACGUAGGUGGCAAGCGUUGUCCGGAAUUAUUGGGCGUAAAGCGCGCGCAGGUGGUUUAAUAAGUCUGAUGUGAAAGCCCACGGCUCAACCGUGGAGGGUCAUUGGAAACUGUUAAACUUGAGUGCAGGAGAGAAAAGUGGAAUUCCUAGUGUAGCGGUGAAAUGCGUAGAGAUUAGGAGGAACACCAGUGGCGAAGGCGGCUUUUUGGCCUGUAACUGACACUGAGGCGCGAAAGCGUGGGGAGCAAACAGGAUUAGAUACCCUGGUAGUCCACGCCGUAACGAUGAGUGCUAAGUGUUGGUCUCAUAAGAGAUCAGUGCUGCAGCUAACGCAUUAAGCACUCCGCCUGNNAGUACGACCGCAAGGUU
Molecule: ribosomal RNA, 545 nt
Filed under: uncultured bacterium
Lineage: Bacteria
Description: bacterial SSU rRNA
Rfam family: Bacterial small subunit ribosomal RNA
Source: RNAcentral